This is a long non-coding RNA of Xyrauchen texanus (razorback sucker), 2253 nucleotides long. RefSeq lists it as uncharacterized. Lineage: Eukaryota; Metazoa; Chordata; Actinopteri; Cypriniformes; Catostomidae. The transcript has 5 exons. The record is from RefSeq and is a predicted model, not a curated record.
CCGUGCAUAACAUCAGCAUUUGUAUGCAUGAAAAAUAAUCUUGUCUUCUACGACGUCAGAGCGUAUAAAUAUGAUUUCUCUGCAUGGCAAGCCAUCUCGCAAACACAAUAGUAAAAACAACAACAAUAGGCAGCAUAUUUCCCCGAACCGAACCUGCAGCUCCUGUCCAACAAUAACCACGCUUCACGAUCGAGUCUGUCCCAAAAAUACUUCUCAAUGCGCCCUUGUGGACUUGCGCGAGGGGCCCUAUAAGUCUGCACUACAUGACGUCACCGAAGUGUGGACUCUGAGGAAGUCCACAAGUCCGGAGUGUGCCAUUUGGGACAGGGCCUACGGGGCGAGUGGAGCUCCAUUCAACAAUAGUAACAAUAGCUGGCAGUGUGUACAGUCAUAGACAGUAUAUAUAUAUAUUUAUUUAACCGAGCGCAUAUAUACAUGACCUCACCUAAUCUUCGCACACAAUAUCAAAGCAGUAUACUACACUUUUACGGUUUAUGACUUUUAAAUAUAAUAUUAUAGUAAAAAUAAUUUCAGAAUUUUCUAUUUAAAGCUAAAUAACAUGUACAAAUCAACCAAUGUAAAAUAAUGAAGAAUAAUUUCCACAAUUUAAGUUUUAAUUGUUUUUAUGUAAAAAAAAAAACAAAAAAAAAACAAAUAAUCUUAAAUUUUUACAACACAAUAACUGGAGUGGAGGUGACGUAUUUCCUGUUUGAGAGUGGAGCUCCAAUCGCCCACAGUCUGCAGCCAGACCCUUCUCGGUUUACUUGCGCGUCGCCCAAAAUGUCGUUUUUUACUCGAUGUCUCCAGAAUCUUCCGAAAAUACGCGUCAGCGAUGUUCAUCGCAUUGUUGAUGCCUGAUCCCCUGCUCCGACAAGCAAGAGGGACAAGGGCUUUAAACUCUACAUAUCAAGUUAUCUGCACAACUACAAGGGUAAGUAUUUUAAUCUAAUGUGGUGUGCCGGCAUAUAGCGGCUAAACUAGUUCGCCUCGUGUUCAUUUUUAAUGUAACGUUAGUAUAGAAGCUUGUUUUUUCUUAGUUUUAAAGCAGACUGUUUGUUAAUUUUUGUGAUAAUUGUGAUAUCAAUUAUAUUAACUUGGUCUCCUCUCAGUUUCUAAUAAAGAUCAGGACACCGGUGAAGUCACUGUCAGGGCAUUGUGCUUCAGGUCCAUAAGGAAAGCAGAUAAACCUCACAGUUUGAGUGUAUGGUGAAGCUAGAAUUAAUAAGACCGCAGUUAUAGGCUUGUUACUUUAAUAGGCCGAUGUUCCUGGGGACUCGGCUAAGGUUAUUCAUGAUUAAUGUAAAUCAGAUGAAAACAGUUAUUGUAGGCAGGUAAGUUUCCCUAGCUGGUCCCCUCUGUGUAAAAUGCGUUCUUAUUCAAGUUUUCAACUCAGUCAUUCGUUUAAGAUGCAAUCUUGUGUUAUAAGUAUUAGGCUAUCAUGAUUAUACAGUGAGCAAGCUAUAUAAAUAAGUAUUUAAUAUAAUAAAAGUGUAGAGCAACAACCGAGGGUGCAAGGUAAAGGCUGAAUAUUGUAGAUUUAUUACAAUAUGUUGCAUGUUUGAAUUAAAAUACCUGUGGAUAUGCAGGAGCACACACUCUACAAAGGCCUGACUGGAGAUUUGCCUGAUCUGUCUGUCCUUCAGAUGACAGCGGCUCACUUCAAGAGCAGGUGAAGCAAGUGGGACAAUGUUGAAGACAUUUGCUCGCACUGGGCAAUCAGGUGCAGAUCAAACCCUAAUGCUGCGACUUCUUGGAAUUUGGCGAUGUUGUGCGUAGCAUGGACGACAAAAUGCUAUGCUGCAACGUUUCAGUGCCAAUGUGUCUGUUGGAGAGUUAUCCCUGCCAGGGGAUCUGUUACUCCCCCCUAGACACCCAGGAAGAUUUGGCGUUGCUUGACAACAGUUUGAGGCAGGAUAAGGAGCUCCAGCAACGAUUUCUUCGGUUUUUGGCAAUCAAAUGUGGGAGGGACCUAAAGACAACCGUGUGUGAAUGCUUCAGAGUAUCUUCUCUAAUCACCUUUCCAUCAAUACAACCUGGACUGGUGUAGGGGAUAAAGCAUGUUUUAGAGACAUGUUCCUGAAGACCAUUGUUCAAAGAGCCAUCCGGAAGAACCCGGCAACACAGGAUGCCACUGAUGAGGCAAUCCAGGUUAACGCUACGCGUUACCUGAAAGGAGCAUCUGAACAUGAAGGUGGAAAAAGCGCCGCACAGCUGAGAGGGACCCACAGCUGACCCCUUAAACCUAGGCUGACU